RNAcentral lists this ribosomal RNA (176 nucleotides) under uncultured bacterium. RNAcentral's name for it is "partial 16S ribosomal RNA". It matches the Rfam family "Bacterial small subunit ribosomal RNA", at positions 338 to 527 of the family's 1533-position model. The record is from RNAcentral.
AUUACGGGAGGCAGCAGUGGGGAAUAUUGGACAAUGGGCCACAAGCCUGAUCCAGCAAUUCUGUGUGCACGAUGAAGGUCUUCGGAUUGUAAAGUGCUUUCAGUUGGGAAGAAGAAAGUGACGGUACCAACAGAAGAAGCGACGGCUAAAUACGUGCCAGCAGCCGCGGUAAUAAU